AUUGAACGCUGGCGGAAUGCUUUACACAUGCCAGUCGAACGGCAGCACGGGGGCAGCCCUGGUGGCGAGUGGCGAACGGGUGAGUAAUACAUCGGAACGUGCCCGGUCGUGGGGGAUAACGUAGCGAAAGUUACGCUAAUACCGCAUACGAUCUGAGGAUGAAAGCGGGGGACCUUCGGGCCUCGCGCGAUCGGAGCGGCCGAUGUCAGAUUAGGUAGUUGGUGGGGUAAAGGCCUACCAAGCCGACGAUCUGUAGCUGGUCUGAGAGGACGACCAGCCACACUGGGACUGAGACACGGCCCAGACUCCUACGGGAGGCAGCAGUGGGGAAUUUUGGACAAUGGGCGCAAGCCUGAUCCAGCCAUUCCGCGUGCAGGACGAAGGCCUUCGGGUCGUAAACUGCUUUUGUACGGAACGAAAAGGCUCUGGCUAAUACCUGGGGCUCAUGACGGUACCGUAAGAAUAAGCACCGGCUAACUACGUG
Molecule: ribosomal RNA, 484 nt
Filed under: uncultured bacterium
Lineage: Bacteria
Description: partial 16S ribosomal RNA
Rfam family: Bacterial small subunit ribosomal RNA
Source: RNAcentral